RNAcentral lists this ribosomal RNA (1195 nucleotides) under uncultured bacterium. Its description in RNAcentral is "bacterial SSU rRNA". It matches the Rfam family "Bacterial small subunit ribosomal RNA", at positions 173 to 1387 of the family's 1533-position model. The record is from RNAcentral.
GACCACAGCACCGCAUGGUGCGGGGGUAAAAACUCCCGGUGGUAUGAGAUGGACCCGCGUCUGAUUAGCUAGUUGGUAAGGUAACGGCUUACCAAGGCGACGAUCAGUAGCCGACCUGAGAGGGUGACCGGCCACAUUGGGACUGAGACACGGCCCAAACUCCUACGGGAGGCAGCAGUGGGGAAUAUUGCACAAUGGGGGAAACCCUGAUGCAGCGACGCCGCGUGAGCGAAGAAGUAUUUCGGUAUGUAAAGCUCUAUCAGCAGGGAAGAAAAUGACGGUACCUGACUAAGAAGCACCGGCUAAACACGUGCCAGCAGCCGCGGUAAUACGUAUGGUGCAAGCGUUAUCCGGAUUUACUGGGUGUAAAGGGAGCGUAGACGGAUGGGCAAGUCUGAUGUGAAAACCCGGGGCUCAACCCCGGGACUGCAUUGGAAACUGUUCAUCUAGAGUGCUGGAGAGGUAAGUGGAAUUCCUAGUGUAGCGGUGAAAUGCGUAGAUAUUAGGAGGAACACCAGUGGCGAAGGCGGCUUACUGGACAGUAACUGACGUUGAGGCUCGAAAGCGUGGGGAGCAAACAGAAUUAGAUCCCCUGGUAGUCCUCGCCGUAAGCGACCAUAAAAGGUGUCGGGUGGCAAAACCAUUCUGUGCCGCAGCAAACACAAAUAAGUAGUCCACCUGGGGAGGUACGUUUGCAAGAAUGAAAAAUCAAAGGAAUUGACGGGGACCCGCACAAGCGGUGGAGCAUGUGGUUUUAAUUUGAAGCAACGCGAAGAACCUUACCUGCUCUUGACAUCCCGCUGACCGGACGGUAAUGCGUCCUUCCCUUCGGGGCAGCGGAGACAGGUGGUGCAUGGUUGUCGUCAGCUCGUGUCGUGAGAUGUUGGGUUAAGUCCCGCAACGAGCGCAACCCCUAUCUUUAGUAGCCAGCGGCCAGGCCGGGCACUCUAGAGAGACUGCCGGGGAUAACCCGGAGGAAGGUGGGGAUGACGUCAAAUCAUCAUGCCCCUUAUGAGCAGGGCUACACACGUGCUACAAUGGCGUAAACAAAGGGAAGCGAGACCGCGAGGUGGAGCAAAUCCCAAAAAUAACGUCUCAGUUCGGAUUGUAGUCUGCAACUCGACUACAUGAAGCUGGAAUCGCUAGUAAUCGCGAAUCAGAAUGUCGCGGUGAAUAAAAUCCCGGGUCUUGCACU